Molecule: long non-coding RNA, 802 nt
Organism: Zonotrichia leucophrys gambelii
Lineage: Eukaryota; Metazoa; Chordata; Aves; Passeriformes; Passerellidae
Exons: 4
Source: RefSeq, a predicted model, not a curated record
GCCGAGCCGGGGGUGCGGGACGGCCGCGGCAGCGCUCACACCGCCCCCACAGGCUCUUCGCUCCGCGCCUCUGCUCCGCUCACCCAGCGAGCCCCAGCUGCCCCUCCCGCACCGUGCCCCCCUCCACCUUUGCCGCCCGCCGGCUCUGAGGGCUUGAACCACCUCCCGAAGGAGGCGGGGAGCGUCCCUGGUCUGAGGAGCGGAGCGCCCGACCCGGAGCGGGAGUUCGAUAGGAAAGACGCGAGCUCUAGAGGAGCAGAGGAAACAUGUAUCCCCACCCAGCUUUCUGGGUUAUAGAAAGGCUGUUCUAUAGUCCUGAAGCAAAGAAGAAGCUGUACACCAAAAGCUGGAAAAGUGGCUUACAUUUUAAGAGGAAUUCUCCAAACCAGAAGAUCCCACCUGUGGUAACACAUACAGCUCAUGGAGUACAAAUUAUGUGCAGUGGGCGUUCAUGUGGAAAAUCUGUAUGGCUAAAGCAUCCUGGCAAACCACAGUUCCUGCUGGGUGAGUUAAGAGUCUGUCUUGAAGGAAUGAGGGAUUCAAAACUCCCCAUGCAGACAGACAAGUCUUUCCCAACGGUUGGACACUGCAUUGCUCCCAUGUGUGCUCCUUACCUCCUGCAAGGUUGGGCUGCUUCAGACUUUGUAGAACGAACACACUCAGUUGCAUGUUCUGAGAGUCUCCACACCAAGAUCUGAUAGGUACAAUCUGUAUAUCUAAUUAAUCUUUGAUUCCUUCAAGUUUAAAUCCAGCAAGUUUUUAAAAGUUUGGGUUUCUGAUCCCCAUUAAAACAUUGUGACUA